Molecule: signal recognition particle RNA, 299 nt
Filed under: Saimiri boliviensis boliviensis (Bolivian squirrel monkey)
Lineage: Eukaryota; Metazoa; Chordata; Mammalia; Primates; Cebidae
Description: Metazoan signal recognition particle RNA (ENSSBOG00000007957.1)
Rfam family: Metazoan signal recognition particle RNA
About the family: The signal recognition particle (SRP) is a universally conserved ribonucleoprotein.
Source: RNAcentral
GCUGGGCGCAGUGGCGCGUGCCUGUAGUCCCAGCUACUCGGGAGGCUGAGGUGGGAGGAUCGCUUGAGCCCAGGAGUUCUGGGCUGUAGAGCGCUAUGCCGAUCGGGUGUCCGCACUAAGUUCGGCAUCAAUAUGGUGACCUCCGGGGAGUGGGGGACUACCAGGUUGCUUAAGGAGGGGUGAACGGGCCCAGGUCAGAAACGGAGCAGGUAAAAACUCCUGUGCUGAUCAGUAGUGGGAUCUAGCCUGUGAAUAGCCACUGCCCUCCAGCCUGGGCAACAUAUUGAGACCCUGUCUCU